UACAGAGGGUGCAAGCGUUAAUCGGAAUUACUGGGCGUAAAGCGUGUGUAGGUGGUUAGAUAAGUUAGAUGUGAAAUCCCCGGGCUUAACCUGGGCACUGCGUUUAAGACUGUUUAACUAGAGUGCUGUAGAGGGUAGUGGAAUUUCCAGUGUAGCGGUGAAAUGCGUAGAUAUUGGAAGGAACACCAGUGGCGAAGGCGACUACCUGGACAGACACUGACACUGAGACACGAAAGCGUGGGGAGCAAAC
RNAcentral lists this ribosomal RNA (250 nucleotides) under uncultured bacterium. RNAcentral's name for it is "partial 16S ribosomal RNA". It matches the Rfam family "Bacterial small subunit ribosomal RNA", at positions 524 to 773 of the family's 1533-position model. The record is from RNAcentral. RNAcentral also lists the same sequence under 1 other name.